AACGAACGCUGGCGGCGUGCCUAACACAUGCAAGUCGAGCGCGAAUGGAGCAAUCCUAGUAGAGCGGCGCACGGGUGCGUAACACGUGGAUAAUCUGCCUGGGUGUCUGGGAUAACCAGUCGAAAGACUGGCUAAUACCGGAUAAGACCACGGUCUCUUCGGAGGCUGUGAGAAAAGGUGGCCUCUGUAUACAAGCUAUCACAUCCAGAUGAGUCCGCGGCCCAUCAGCUAGUUGGCGGGGUAAUGGCCCACCAAGGCGACGACGGGUAGCUGGUCUGAGAGGACGAUCAGCCACACUGGAACUGAGACACGGUCCAGACUCCUACGGGAGGCAGCAGUGGGGAAUUUUGCGCAAUGGGCGAAAGCCUGACGCAGCAACGCCGCGUGUGUGAUGAAGGUCUUCGGAUUGUAAAGCACUUUCGACC
This 425-nucleotide ribosomal RNA is filed under the name uncultured bacterium. Its description in RNAcentral is "bacterial SSU rRNA". It matches the Rfam family "Bacterial small subunit ribosomal RNA", at positions 29 to 441 of the family's 1533-position model. The record is from RNAcentral.